AAUGAACGCUGGCGGCAGGCCUAACACAUGCAAGUCGAACGAGGCAGCAAUGCCUAGUGGCGGACGGGUGAGUAACGCGUGGGAACGUGCCCCUUGGUACGGAAUAGCCCUGGGAAACUGGGAGUAAUACCGUAUGUGGUCGAGAGACGAAAGAUUUAUCGCCAAGGGAUCGGCCCGCGUUGGAUUAGGUAGUUGGUGGGGUAAUGGCCUACCAAGCCGACGAUCCAUAGAUGGUUUGAGAGGAUGAUCAGCCACACUGGGACUGAGACACGGCCCAGACUCCUACGGGAGGGAGCAGUGGGGAAUCGUAGACAAUGGGGGAAACCCUGAUCUAGCCAUGCCGCGUGAUCAAUGAAGGCCUUAGGGUUGUAAAGAUCUUUCAGUGGGGAAGAUAAUGACGGUACCCACAGAAGAAGCCCCGGCUAACUCCGUGCCAGCCGCCGCCGUAA
This 449-nucleotide ribosomal RNA is filed under the name uncultured bacterium. RNAcentral describes it as "partial 16S ribosomal RNA". It matches the Rfam family "Bacterial small subunit ribosomal RNA", at positions 29 to 523 of the family's 1533-position model. The record is from RNAcentral.